This 207-nucleotide ribosomal RNA is filed under the name uncultured bacterium. RNAcentral's name for it is "partial 16S ribosomal RNA". It matches the Rfam family "Bacterial small subunit ribosomal RNA", at positions 568 to 774 of the family's 1533-position model. The record is from RNAcentral.
CGUCUAGGCGGCAGUUCAAGUCUUGCGUGAAAGCUCCCGGCUCAACUGGGAGAGUGCGUGAGAAACUGAGCAGCUAGAGUCUUGGAGGGGUGCGUGGAAUUCCCGGUGGAGUGGUGGAAUGCGUUGAGAUCGGGAGGAACACCAGAAGCGAAGGCGGCGCACUGGCCAAGAACUGACGCUGAAGCGCGACAGCGUGGGGAGCAAACG